This 488-nucleotide ribosomal RNA is filed under the name uncultured bacterium. RNAcentral's name for it is "partial 16S ribosomal RNA". It matches the Rfam family "Bacterial small subunit ribosomal RNA", at positions 30 to 507 of the family's 1533-position model. The record is from RNAcentral.
AUUGAACGCUGGCGGCAUGCUUUACACAUGCAAGUCGAACGGCAGCACAGGGAGCUUGCUCCUGGGUGGCGAGUGGCGAACGGGUGAGUAAUGUAUCGGAACGUGCCUGGUAGUGGGGGAUAACUACUCGAAAGAGUGGCUAAUACCGCAUGAGAUCUUUGGAUGAAGGCGGGGGACCUUCGGGCCUCGUGCUACUGGAGCGGCCGAUAUCAGAUUAGGUUGUUGGUGGGGUAAAGGCCUACCAAGCCUGCGAUCUGUAGCUGGUCUGAGAGGACGACCAGCCACACUGGGACUGAGACACGGCCCAGACUCCUACGGGAGGCAGCAGUGGGGAAUUUUGGACAAUGGGCGCAAGCCUGAUCCAGCAAUGCCGCGUGCAGGACGAAGGCCUUCGGGUUGUAAACUGCUUUUGUACAGAACGAAAAGUCUCUGGCUAAUAUCUAGAGAUCAUGACGGUACUGUAAGAAUAAGCACCGGCUAACUACGUG